AAGAUUUCUUUAAAAAUAUUGUUUGCUCGGAUUGUUAAUUGUUACAUCCUUAAGGAAGUCAACAGUAAAACAAAUCAAGUUACAAAACUUAAACGCCGCAUUUCGGGUUGUAACAGACUCUCGGAUGUUUAUUGUGGAAAUAUGUUACAAUCUUUUUGUAAAUGUAGGUUAUGAAAUGGUCCCACACGGUAGAAUGGAGGGCAAUGUAAAGGACUCAAAUGCCCAAAACUAUUAUGCCAAAUGAGCGGCACUAGAUGUCCUUAGAAAAGCCUCGUCGGACCUCAAUACAAAGAUCUCUGCGCUUGGUAAGUAAAGUGGGUUCCACGCUGAAUUGUCUCCCAAUGAGCUUUCUAAUCUCUUCAGGCGAUGUUGAAGAGUGUAGGAAAAGAUGACAAGUUUCAACUGUAUCGGGUGUUACAUACAGGAUGUAUAUUGUUCAGUCUGGCAAAAAAAUGUUUUCAGAGAAAUUAAUUCAAACAACCAGUCAAGUGGAGAUUGAGCUCUGCCAAGCUGGUACCAUAGAGAUUUUCCUCUUGUCCGUAUCACAACGCGGAACCGGAAACAACAAGAACGGGAAGAGAUUGCACUCAGGCAUAUGGCGCGAUGAUUCCCUUGCUAGCAAUUAUAUUUAGAAGCCAUUACAGCACAGCCAACAAACUCUUUGACCAAAUAAAGAAUAUUCCAAAAAUGUUCCUUCUUGUCAUGGGUUUUUUUCUUU
Molecule: long non-coding RNA, 718 nt
Organism: Saccostrea cuccullata (small rock oyster)
Lineage: Eukaryota; Metazoa; Mollusca; Bivalvia; Ostreida; Ostreidae
Exons: 5
Source: RefSeq, a predicted model, not a curated record